Molecule: ribosomal RNA, 394 nt
Filed under: uncultured bacterium
Lineage: Bacteria
Description: partial 16S ribosomal RNA
Rfam family: Bacterial small subunit ribosomal RNA
Source: RNAcentral
AUACGUAGGUGACAGGCGUUAUCCGGAUUUACUGGGCGUAAAGGGCGUGUAGGCGGUCUUGCAAGUCAGAAGUGAAAUUCCUGAGCUCAACUCGGGCGCUGCUUCUGAAACUGCAGGACUUGAGUGCUGGAGGGGAUAGCGGAAUUCCUAGUGGAGCGGUAAAAUGCGCAGAUAUUAGGAAGAACACCGGUGGCGAAGGCGGCUAUCUGGACAGUAACUGACGCUGAGGCGCGAAAGCGUGGGGAGCAGACAGGAUUAGAUACCCUGGUAGUCCGCACAGUAAACGAUGGACACCCGCGGUUUGGCCUAUAUGGCUGAGCCGCCAAGCGAAAGCGUUAAGUGUCCCACCUGGGGAGUACGCCGGCAACGGUGAAACUCAAAGGAAUUGACGGGG